CGACGGCAUCUCCUCCACGCCUCUUCAGUUGUUGGAACGGGAAUGUCUCGGCCGAUGUCGGUUAUCCUGUGUUGAAUACCUAUUGCGAGGGCAUUGAGUUGGCUAAAAUGGUUCGUUUCCCGCCUUGUGCUGUCUCUCCACUUGGGGCGGCGGUGCGGGGUGGGCAAAUUGCGUUCGUCGGGUGUCGCACCUUGUUUGCUCUUACGGGCAUUCGGGAUGACGACCCUCGACGCUAUGCUAGAACUCUUGGGUACGGUUUAUGAUGUGGGUACGAGGUCAUUGGCCUCCCGGCUCCACAAACAAGCGUUCUACGCUUCGUGCGAACGACGGUCGGUUCGGUGUUUGGUCGUUCUCUCGUAGCUCGGUUCAAGCCGUGCCGACGUCGAUG
This 388-nucleotide unclassified non-coding RNA is filed under the name Salvia corrugata. Its description in RNAcentral is "partial external transcribed spacer". The record is from RNAcentral. Lineage: Eukaryota; Viridiplantae; Streptophyta; Magnoliopsida; Lamiales; Lamiaceae.